GACGUGGCCGGAACUAAAGUGCCGGGCUUGACUAUGAGUACGCUAUAUGACGGCCAGGUUUGUGUGUUGCGCUUCGUGGGCACCCGUCUGCUCUGCUUCCCCUCGCCUUUGAAGAGAACAGUCACCACACUCAUGGCAGGGAUUUUGCGCUCAAUAGUUCAGAAGCCCCCAGGUGGACUCCAAACUGUAACAAAAGGUGUGGAGUCUCUCAUUUGUACAGAUUGGAUUCGUCACAAAUUUACCAAGUCAAGAAUUCCAGAUAAAGUAUUUCAGCCUUCACCUGCAGAUCAUGAAAAAUAUGGUGGGGAUCCACAGCACCCUCAUAAACUGCAUAUUGUUACCAGAAUAAAGAGUACAAAAAGACGUCCAUAUUGGGAAAAAGAUAUAAUAAAGAUGCUUGGAUUAGAAAAAGCACAUACUCCUCAAGUUCACAAGAAUAUACCUUCAGUGAAUGCAAAACUGAAAGUGGUUAAACAUUUGAUAAGAAUCCAGCCCCUGAAGUUGCCACAAGGACUUCCAGCGGAAGAGGACAUGUCUAACACGUGUCUCAAGAGCACUGGGGAAUUAGUGGUGCGGUGGCAUCUAAACCCUGUAGAUCAGGAAGCAGUUAAGUCCUAAUGCCAGAGCAGUUUCAUAUUUAAAAAUAAGCAAGCCAUAAGUCCAGCCAAACUCAAGGAAGAGGGGAAUUACACAAAUGUAUGACUGCCAAGAGGCAAGGAUCCUGGGGGCCUCCUUAAAGAUUACCUGCAAGCAUGUAUUUGAGAGAGAGAGUGUGCGCUCACACAAGAGAGAGCAGGAGAGGGAUAGAGAGAAUCUCAAGCAGGCUCUGUGCUGGGGCCCAACACUGGGGCUCAAUGAACCGUGGAAAUCAUGAACUGUGAAAUCAUGAAAUCAUGGCCUGAAAUCAAGAGUUGCAUGUUCAACUGACUGAGUCACCCAGCUGUUUCUGAGAAUUCUCCCAGCAAGACCCUCCCAUGAUGAUGGCCACAAUGAGUGAUGGGCCCACAGGAAACCAUUUUGCAACCUCUUGGAUAUUGGCUUUGUAGGCUAAUAUCCUUUGAAGAUCAUUGCUGCAAUCAUUUUGGAAGCAAUAAUCUCUAAGGACAGGAGGAGAGAGAAGGUGCUGUCUCUAAAAUGGAACAUGCCUUCCUGAGGGAGAGAGCACAGUCCACUGGGGUGAGGAAAAGAAGUAUUGGAAAUUUUAUUUCUAUUUGUUUUUUCAUCUAAUCCCUCAAAUUUAUGUUUUUGUGUAUAUUUCAUAAUGUCAGAAUAAAGUGUAUGUGAAAAAUGA
Molecule: RNA transcript, 1291 nt
Organism: Herpailurus yagouaroundi (jaguarundi)
Lineage: Eukaryota; Metazoa; Chordata; Mammalia; Carnivora; Felidae
Gene: MRPL30
Gene name: mitochondrial ribosomal protein L30
Exons: 9
Source: RefSeq, a predicted model, not a curated record